Molecule: ribosomal RNA, 777 nt
Filed under: uncultured Glomus
Lineage: Eukaryota; Fungi; Glomeromycota; Glomeromycetes; Glomerales; Glomeraceae
Description: SSU rRNA
Rfam family: Eukaryotic small subunit ribosomal RNA
Source: RNAcentral
AUGGUAGGAUAGAGGUCUACCAUGGUGGUAACGGGUAACGGGGUGUUAGGGCACGACACCGGAGAGGGAGCCUGAGAAACGGCUACCACAUCCAAGGAAGGCAGCAGGCGCGCAAAUUACCCAAUCCCGACACGGGGAGGUAGUGACAAUAAAUAACAAUACAGGGCUCUUUUGGGUCUUGUAAUUGGAAUGAGUACAAUUUAAAUCUCUUAACAAGGAACAAUUGGAGGGCAAGUCUGGUGCCAGCAGCCGCGGUAAUUCCAGCUCCAAUAGCGUAUAUUAAAGUUGUUGCAGUUAAAAAGCUCGUAGUUGAAUUUCGGGAUCAAUAUGUCGGUCGUGCCUUCGGUACGUACUGGUAUCAUUGGUCUCUCCUUUCUGACGAACCAUGAUGUCAUUAAUUUGGUGUUAUGGGGAGUUAGGACUGUUACUUUGAAAAAAUUAGAGUGUUUAAAGCAGGCUUUAGCUUGAAUACAUUAGCAUGGAAUAAUGAAAUAGGACGUUCGAACCUAUGUUGUUGGUUUCUAGGAUCAACGUAAUGAUUAAUAGGGAUAGUUGGGGGCAUUAGUAUUCAAUUGUCAGAGGUGAAAUUCUUGGAUUUAUUGAAGACUAACUACUGCGAAAGCAUUUGCCAAGGAUGUUUUCAUUAAUCAAGAACGAAAGUUAGGGGAUCGAAGACGAUCAGAUACCGUCGUAGUCUUAACCAUAAACUAUGCCGACUAGGGAUCGGAUGAUGUUAAUUUUUUAAUGACUCAUUCGGCGCCUUACGGGAAACCAAAG